RNAcentral lists this ribosomal RNA (474 nucleotides) under uncultured bacterium. Its description in RNAcentral is "SSU rRNA". It matches the Rfam family "Bacterial small subunit ribosomal RNA", at positions 26 to 521 of the family's 1533-position model. The record is from RNAcentral.
AGAACGAACGCUGGCGGCAUGCCUAACACAUGCAAGUCGAACGCUCUUGGGGCUUCGGUCUCAGGGGAGUGGCGCACGGGUGAGUAGCGCGUGGGAACCUGCCCUGUUGUGGGGGAUAACCGAGGGAAACUUCGGCUAAUACCGCAUAAGCCGGUUGUCUUGAAGGAGAUGGCCGGGAAAGAUUUAUCGCGACAGGAGGGGCCCGCGUCGGAUUAGCUAGUUGGUGGGUAACGGCCCACCAAGGCGGUGAUCCGUAGCUGGUCUGAGAGGAUGAUCAGCCACACUGGGACUGAGACACGGCCCAGACUCCUACGGGAGGCAGCAGUGGGGAAUAUUGGACAAUGGGCGCAAGCCUGAUCCAGCAAUGCCGCGUGAGUGAUGAAGGCCUUAGGGUUGUAAAGCUCUUUCGCCCGCGACGAUGAUGACGGUAGCGGGAGAAGAAGCCCCGGCUAACUUCGUGCCAGCAGCCGCGGU